GAUGAACGCUGGCGGCGUGCCUAAUACAUGCAAGUCGAGCGAACGGACGAGAAGCUUGCUUCUCUGAUGUUAGCGGCGGACGGGUGAGUAACACGUGGAUAACCUACCUAUAAGACUGGGAUAACUUCGGGAAACCGGAGCUAAUACCGGAUAAUAUUUUGAACCGCAUGGUUCAAAAGUGAAAGACGGUCUUGCUGUCACUUAUAGAUGGAUCCGCGCUGCAUUAGCUAGUUGGUAAGGUAACGGCUUACCAAGGCAACGAUGCAUAGCCGACCUGAGAGGGUGAUCGGCCACACUGGAACUGAGACACGGUCCAGACUCCUACGGGAGGCAGCAGUAGGGAAUCUUCCGCAAUGGGCGAAAGCCUGACGGAGCAACGCCGCGUGAGUGAUGAAGGUCUUCGGAUCGUAAAACUCUGUUAUUAGGGAAGAACAUAUGUGUAAGUAACUGUGCACAUCUUGACGGUACCUAAUCAGAAAGCCACGGCUAACUACGUGCCAGCAGCCGCGGUAAUACGUAGGUGGCAAGCGUUAUCCGGAAAUAUUGGGCGUAAAGCGCGCGUAGGCGGUUUUUUAAGUCUGAUGUGAAAGCCCACGGCUCAACCGUGGAGGGUCAUUGGAAACUGGAAAACUUGAGUGCAGAAGAGGAAAGUGGAAUUCCAUGUGUAGCGGUGAAAUGCGCAGAGAUAUGGAGGAACACCAGUGGCGAAGGCGACUUUCUGGUCUGUAACUGACGCUGAUGUGCGAAAGCGUGGGGAUCAAACAGGAUUAGAUACCCUGGUAGUCCACGCCGUAAACGAUGAGUGCUAAGUGUUAGGGGGUUUCCGCCCCUUAGUGCUGCAGCUAACGCAUUAAGCACUCCGCCUGGGGAGUACGACCGCAAGGUUGAAACUCAAAGGAAUUGACGGGGACCCGCACAAGCGGUGGAGCAUGUGGUUUAAUUCGAAGCAACGCGAAGAACCUUACCAAAUCUUGACAUCCUUUGACAACUCUAGAGAUAGAGCCUUCCCCUUCGGGGGACAAAGUGACAGGCGGUGCAUGGUUGUCGUCAGCUCGUGUCGUGAGAUGUUGGGUUAAGUCCCGCAACGAGCGCAACCCUUAAGCUUAGUUGCCAUCAUUAAGUUGGGCACUCUAAGUUGACUGCCGGUGACAAACCGGAGGAAGGUGGGGAUGACGUCAAGUCAUCAUGCCCCUUAUGAUUUGGGCUACACACGUGCUACAAUGGACAAUACAAAGGGCAGCGAAACCGCGAGGUCAAGCAAAUCCCAUAAAGUUGUUCUCAGUUCGGAUUGUAGUCUGCAACUCGACUACAUGAAGCUGGAAUCGCUAGUAAUCGUAGAUCAGCAUGCUACGGUGAAUACGUUCCCGGGUCU
RNAcentral lists this ribosomal RNA (1372 nucleotides) under uncultured bacterium. RNAcentral describes it as "bacterial SSU rRNA". It matches the Rfam family "Bacterial small subunit ribosomal RNA", at positions 28 to 1381 of the family's 1533-position model. The record is from RNAcentral.